This 494-nucleotide ribosomal RNA is filed under the name uncultured bacterium. RNAcentral describes it as "partial 16S ribosomal RNA". It matches the Rfam family "Bacterial small subunit ribosomal RNA", at positions 29 to 505 of the family's 1533-position model. The record is from RNAcentral.
AUGAACGCUGGCGGCGUGCCUAAUACAUGCAAGUCGAGCGAACAGACGAGGAGCUUGCUCCUCUGACGUUAGCGGCGGACGGGUGAGUAACACGUGGAUAACCUACCUAUAAGACUGGGAUAACUUCGGGAAACCGGAGCUAAUACCGGAUAAUAUAUUGAACCGCAUGGUUCAAUAGUGAAAGACGGUUUUGCUGUCACUUAUAGAUGGAUCCGCGCCGCAUUAGCUAGUUGGUAAGGUAACGGCUUACCAAGGCAACGAUGCGUAGCCGACCUGAGAGGGUGAUCGGCCACACUGGAACUGAGACACGGUCCAGACUCCUACGGGAGGCAGCAGUAGGGAAUCGUCCGCAAUGGGCGAAAGCUUGACGGAGCAACGCCGCGUGAGUGAUGAAGGUCUUCGGAUCGUAAAACUCUGUUAUUAGGGAAGAACAAAUGUGUAAGUAACUAUGCACGUCUUGACGGUACCUAAUCAGAAAGCCACGGCUAACUACG